Molecule: transfer RNA, 77 nt
Filed under: Candidatus Buchananbacteria bacterium
Lineage: Bacteria; Candidatus Buchananiibacteriota
Description: tRNA-Cys
Rfam family: tRNA
About the family: Transfer RNA (tRNA) molecules are approximately 80 nucleotides in length.
Source: RNAcentral
GCGGGGGUAGCCAAAUCAGGUAAGGCGGAGGCCUGCAAAGCCUUAAUGUGUCGGUUCAACUCCGGCCCCUCGCUCCA